RNAcentral lists this ribosomal RNA (301 nucleotides) under uncultured bacterium. RNAcentral describes it as "partial 16S ribosomal RNA". It matches the Rfam family "Bacterial small subunit ribosomal RNA", at positions 509 to 807 of the family's 1533-position model. The record is from RNAcentral.
CAGUAGCCGCGGGAAUACGGAGGGUGCAAGCGUUAAUCGGAAUUACUGGGCGUAAAGCGCACGCAGGCGGUCUGUCAAGUCAGAUGUGAAAUCCCCGGGCUUAACCUGGGAACUGCAUUUGAAACUGGCAGGCUAGAGUCUUGUAGAGGGGGGUAGAAUUCCAGGUGUAGCGGUGAAAUGCGUAGAAAUCUGGAGGAAUACCGGUGGCGAAGGCGGCCCCCUGGACAAAGACUGACGCUCAUGCACGAAAGCGUGGGGAGCAAACAGGAUUAGAUACCCCGGUAGUCCCUGUCUCUUAUAC